CUUCAGACUGUGUCGAUCAUCAUCUCCAUAAAACCAACCCCUAGCUUGGCAAUCAGUGGCUCCAAGCCCAAGGGUAAAAAAGACAACAUGUACGGAAUAAUCAUAAGCGGACUGAUCCCGAUGGCGGAACACCAACACCACCAUUAUAAUCUAUGUGGUGCCCGCGCCGCCGGGUAGAAUUGGAUAACUUGCAUAUUGUGGAUCCUCCAGCAAGCAGGAUAUCCAGAAGCCGAUGAGGAUGGGAGGGGGGCCCCCAUUAUUGGCUGGUUCGUGGUUUCAGAUUUGGUUUUGGGAUAUCCAGACGGGAGAAAACAAUAAACAGAAAACCUGGCGAGCAGUGGCUUCGCAGGAAUAAUGAAUGAGGAAGU
Molecule: small RNA, 368 nt
Filed under: Histoplasma ohiense
Lineage: Eukaryota; Fungi; Ascomycota; Eurotiomycetes; Onygenales; Ajellomycetaceae
Description: hypothetical lncRNA
Source: RNAcentral